GUUUUGUUCCGAAGCAAAGAUAUCCGCGGAGGCCGGUUCGUUCGUCCUAUUCUGAUAUUCAAGACGAAGAGGUACUGGAUUCUCUUUCGGAUAGGCCCUGAAAGGAGAAGAAAGGCUGAAAUGCCAACGGACCUCUGUCUAUUCUCUAAUUCACCCGAUCCGAUAGUACCCGUUUUUGGAACGUCCAGUGCCAAAGUCACUGAAUGGGUAAGUCACCAAUCCAAUCCCUUUGACAAAUCGGAUGUCAUAUUAGAUAUCACAUUCUAUAUAUAUAGAAAUAUCAUAGAUAGAAUAGACAUAUAG
RNAcentral lists this ribosomal RNA (303 nucleotides) under Triticum aestivum (bread wheat). Its description in RNAcentral is "partial small subunit ribosomal RNA". The record is from RNAcentral. Lineage: Eukaryota; Viridiplantae; Streptophyta; Magnoliopsida; Poales; Poaceae.